AAGAGACAGCAGCCGCCGCGGUAAUACGAAGGGGGCUAGCGUUGUUCGGAAUUACUGGGCGUAAAGCGCACGUAGGCGGACAUUUAAGUCAGGGGUGAAAUCCCGGGGCUCAACCCCGGAACUGCCUUUGAUACUGGGUGUCUAGAGUAUGGAAGAGGUGAGUGGAAUUCCGAGUGUAGAGGUGAAAUUCGUAGAUAUUCGGAGGAACACCAGUGGCGAAGGCGGCUCACUGGUCCAUUACUGACGCUGAGGUGCGAAAGCGUGGGGAGCAAACAGGAUUAGAUACCCCAGUAGUCCCUGUCUCUUAUAC
Molecule: ribosomal RNA, 310 nt
Filed under: uncultured bacterium
Lineage: Bacteria
Description: partial 16S ribosomal RNA
Rfam family: Bacterial small subunit ribosomal RNA
Source: RNAcentral